Non-coding RNA from Coturnix japonica (Japanese quail), 8195 nucleotides. Lineage: Eukaryota; Metazoa; Chordata; Aves; Galliformes; Phasianidae. The record is from RefSeq and is a predicted model, not a curated record.
UACACUACAAAAAUGUUGUUAUAGGGGAAUAUUUUGGGGUGAAAAAGGGCAAUUUUGGGGAUGUUGUUGCACUGCAAUAGUUCUAUUUAUCUCAAGUGAAAUAAGUGAAAUUUUGGGGUGAAAAAGGUUGAUUUUGGGGCUGUUGUUGCACUGCAAUGAUCGCAUUUAUUUCCAGUGAGAUUUUGGGGUGAAAAAGGGCAAUUUUGGGGCUGUUGCAGUGUAAUAACUCCAUUUAUCUCAAGUGAAAUAAGUGCAAUUUUGGGGUGAAAAAGGGCAAUUUUGGGGCUGUUGUUACACUGCAAUAAUUCCAUUUAUUUCCAGUGAGAUUUUGGGGUGAAAAAGGGCAAUUUUUGGUGUGAAAAAGGACGAUUUUGGGGCUGUUGUUGCAAUGCAAUAAUUCCAUUUAUAUCAAGUGAAAGAAGUGCAAUUUUGGGGUGAAAAAGGGCAAUUUUGGGGCUGUUGUUUCACCACGUCAGUGUUAAAAUAUAGGAGAAUUUUGGGGUGAAAAAGGGCGAUUUUGGGGCUGUUGUUACACUACAAAAAUGUUGUUAUAGGGGAAAAUUUUGGGGUGAAAAAGGGUAAUUUUGGGGCUGUUGUUGCACUGUAAUAAUUCCAUUUAUCUCAAGUUAAAUAAGUGCAAUUUUGGGGUGAAAAAGGGCAAUUUUGGGGCUGUUGUUGCACCACAUCAGCAUUAUAAUAGAGGAGAAUUUUGGGGUGAAAAAGGGCGAUUUUGGGGCUGUUGUUGCACAGCAAUGAUCCAUUUAACUCCAGUGAGAUUUUGGGGUGAAAAAAGGCAAUUUUGGGGCUGUUUCACCACGUCAGCGUUAUAAUAGAGGAGAAUUUUGGGGUGAAAAAGGGCAAUUUUGGGGCUGUUGUUACACUACAAGAUGUUGUUAUAGGGGAAAAUUUUGGGGUGAAAAAGGGCGAUUUUGGGGCUGUUGUUGCACUGGAAUAAUUCCAUUUAUCUCAAGUGAAAUAAGUGCAAUUUUGGGGUGAAAAAGGGCGAUUUUGGGGCUGUUGAGCUGCAAUGAUCCCAUUUAUUUCAAGUGAGAUUCUGGGGUGAAAAAGAGCAAUUUUGGGGCUGUUGUUUAACCGUCUCAGCGUUAUAAUAGAGGAGAAUUUUGGGGUGAAAAAGGGCGAUUUUGGUGCUGUUGUUUCACCGUAUCAGUGUUACAAUAGAGGAGAAUUUUGGGGUGAAAAAGAUCAAUUUUGGGGCUGUUGUUGCACUGCAGUGAUUCCAUUUAUUUCCAGUGAGAUUUUGGGGUGAAAAAGGGCAAUUUUGGGGCUGUUGUUACACUACAAAAAUGUUGUUAUAGGAGAAAAUUUUGGGGUGAAAAAGGGCGAUUUUGGGGCUGUUGUUGCACUGCAAUAAUUCCAUUUAUUUCCAGUGAGAUUUUGGGGUGAAAAAGGGCGAUUUUGGUGCUGUUGUUGCAGUGUAAUAAUUUCAUUUAUCUCAAGUGAAAUAAGUGAAAUUUUGGGGUGAAAAAGGGCAAUUUUGGGGCUGUUGUUACACUAAAAAAUGUUGUUAUAGGGGAAAAUUUUGGGGUGAAAAAGGUCGAUUUUGGGACUAUUUAAUACUCAACCAUUAUUAUAAAGGCAAAUUUUGGGGUGAAAAAGGUCGAUUUUGGGGCUGUUUCACUACAAAAACGUUAUUAUUGAAGAAGGUUUUGGUGUGAAAAGGGUCGAUUUUGGGACUGUUUAUUACUCAACUAUAAUAGAGGCAAAUUUUGGGGUGAAAAAGUCGAUUUUGGGAUUAUUGUUUUACUACACAAAUAUUAUUAUAGAGGAAGAUUUUGGUGUAAAAAAGGUCAGUUUUGGGAUUAUUUAUUAUUCAGCCAUUAUUAUAAAGGCAAAUUUUGGGGUGAAAAAGGUCGAUUUUGGGACUUUAUUACACAGUUCUUAUUUUAGGGUAAAAUUUUGGGGUGAAAAAGGUCAAUUUUGGGGCUGUUGUUUUGCUCCAUGAAUGUUAUAGGGCUGAAUUUUGGGGCGAAAAAGGUCGCUUUUGGGAUUAUUGUUUUACUACACAAAUAUUAUAGAGGAAGAUUUUGGUGUAAAAAAGGUCAGUUUUGGGAUUAUUUAUUACUCAGCCAUUAUUAUAAAGGCAAAUUUUGGGGCAAAAAAGGUCGAUUUUGGGGCUGUUGUUUCACUACAAAAAUGUUGUUAUUGAAGAAGAUUUUGGUGUGAAAAAGGUCGAUUUUGGGAUUAUUUAUUAUUCAGCCAUUAUUAUAAAGGCAAAUUUUGGGGUGAAAAAGGUCAAUUUUGGGACUAUUUAUCUAUAAUAGAGGCACAUUUUGGUGUAAAAAAGGUCGAUUUUGGGACUAUUUAAUACUCAACCAUUAUUAUAAAGGCAAAUUUUGGGGUGAAAAAGGUCGAUUUUGGGUUUAUUAUUUUUCUAAAUAACAAUUACUAUAGGUGAAGAUUUUGGUGUGAAAAAUGCCAAUUUUGGGACAAUUUCUUUACUAAUUAUAAUUUUAGGAGCAAAUUUUGGUGUGAAAAAGGUCGAUUUUGGGACUGUUUAUUACUCAACUGUAAUAGAGGCAAAUUUUGGGAUGAAAAAAGUCGAUUUUGGGAUUAUUGUUUUACUACACAAAUAUUAUUAUAGAGGAAGAUUUUGGUGUAAAAAAGGUCAGUUUUGGGAUUAUUUAUUACUCAGCCAUUAUUAUAAAGGCAAAUUUUGGGGUGAAAAAGGUCGAUUUUGGGGCUGUUGUUUCACUACAAAAACUUUAUUAUUGACGAAGAUUUUGGUGUGAAAAAGGGUCGAUUUUGGGACUGUGUAUUACUCAACUAUAAUAGAGGCAAAUUUUGGGGUGAAAAAAGUCGAUUUUGGGAUUAUUGUUUUACUACACAAAUAUUAUUAUACAGGAAGAUUUUGGUGUAAAUAAGGUCAGUUUUGGGAUUAUUUAUUAUUCAGCCAUUAUUAUAAGGGCAGAUUUUGGGGUGAAAAAGGUCGAUUUUGGGGCUGUUGUUUCACUACAAAAACUUUAUUAUUGAAGAAGAUUUUGGUGUGAAAAAGGUCGAUUUUGGGACUAUUUAUUACUCAACCAUUAUUAUAAGGCAGAUUUUGGGGUGAAAAAGGUCGAUUUUGGGCUUAUUAUUUAUCUAAAUAACUAUUAUUAUAGGUGAAGAUUUUGGUGUGAAAAAUGCCAAUUUUGGGACAAUUUCUUUACUAAUUAUUAUUUUAGGAGCAAAUUUUGGUGUGAAAAAUGUUGAUUUUGGGACAAUUUCUUUACCAAAUAUCUGUUAUUUUAGGAGCAAAUUUUGGUGUGAAAAAUGUCAAUUUUGGGUUUCUUUGCUGUAUUUAUUGUUGGGGGGGGGAUGUUAAAAAAUAACCAUUAAUUUUUGGUGUGAAAAAAGGCCGAUUUGGGCAAAAAAAAAACCCCACCAGGUUCCACUUUGCAGCCAAUAGAAGAAAAUAGCAAUUAACGCCGGCUGAUUUUUGGGCUGAAAAAGUGAAGAUUUGGUUAAAAAAUGCCCAAAUCCGCCUCCGUUUCCUUAUAAAGAAUGUGAAGUUUUGGUGUGAAAAAUGCAAAGUUUGGUUCAUUUCUCUAUUGAUAACUGUAUAUUUUUAUCCCAUAGCAGCCAAAAAGCGGCGCUCAUUUUGGGGCUAAAAAAGCCCUUUUUGGGUCCGGAGGAAAAGAAGGACCGGUUUUGGUGUGAAAAAUGGGCAUUUUGGGGGCAUUUUUGGUGUGAAAAAUGGCAGAUUUGGGGCAGUGCGGUGGGGGAGGGGCGGCACGGGGGCAUUUUUGGGGUGAAAAAGGGCGAUUUUGGGGCUCCUGGGCUUCAGUUUGGGGCUAAACUUGAACAAUUUGGGGCUGAAAAAAAAGUGCAGUUUUGGGGCCAAAUCUUCAGAAUUUGGGGCUGAAAAAAGUGCAUUUUGGGGCUGCUUUUUUGGGGCCAAAUGCUCAGAAAUUGGGGGUUAAAAAUGUGCAUUUUGGGGCCAAAAUCUCACAAUUUGGGGGUGAAAAAAGUGCAUUUUGGGGCUGCUUUUUUGGGGCCAAAUCCUCUGAAAAUAGGGGUGAAAAAAGUGCAUUUUUAGGGGUUGUUUUUGGGGCCAAAUCCUCAGAAUUUGGGGGGAAAAAAAGUGUUUUUUGGGGUGAAAAAAGUGCAUUUUGGGGCCAAAUCCUCCGAAUUUGGGGGUGAAAAAAGGGCAUUUUGGGCGGGUUCUUUUUUGGGGCCAAAACCUCAGAAUUUGGGAGUUAAAAAAGUGCAUUUUGGGGCCAAAUCCUCAAAAUUUGGGUGUUAAAAAUGUGCAUUUUGGGGCCAAAUCCUGAGAAUUUAGGGGUGAAAAAAAUGCAUUUUGGGGCUGCUUUUUUGGGGCCAAAGCUUCUGAGCUUUGGUUGGUUUUUUUGGGGGUUGAAAAUGUGCAUUUUGGGGCCAAAUCUUCAGAAUUUAGGGGUGAAAAAAGUGCAUUUUUGGGGCUUUUUUUUUGGGUCAAAUCCUCGGAAUUUAGGGGUGAAAAAAGUGCAUUUUGGGGCCAAAUCCUCAGAAUUUGGGGGUGAAAAAGGUGUGAUUUUUGGGGUGAAAAAAGUGCAUUUUGGGGUCAGAUCUUCAGAAUUCAGGGUUGAAAAAAGUGUAUUUCUGGGACUGCUUUUUUGGGGCCAAAUCCUCAGAAUUUGGGGCUGAAAAGAGUGUGUUUUUUUGGGGUGAAAAAAGUGCAUUUUGGGGACAAAUCCUCCGAAUUUGAGGGUGAAAAAAGUGCAUUUUGGGGGGUUUUUUUGGGGGGCCAAAACCUCAGAAUUUGGGAGUUAAAAAAGUACAUUUUGGGGGCCAAAUCUUUAGAAUUUAGGGGUGAAAAAGAUGCAUUUUGGGGCCGAAUCCUGAGAAUUUAGGGGUGAAAAAAGUGAAUUUUGGGGCUGCUUUUUUGGGGUCAAAUCCUCUGAAAUUAGGAGUGAAAAAAGUGCAUUUUGGGGCCAAAUCCUCAAAAAUUGGGUGUUAAAAAUGUGCAUUUUGGGGCCAAAUCCUGAGAAUUUAGGGGUGAAAAAAAUGCAUUUUGGGGCUGCUUUUUUGGGGCCAAAUGCUCAGAAAUUGGGGGUUGAAAAUGUGCAUUUUGGGGCCAAAUCUUCAGAAUUUAGGGGUGAAAAAAGUGCAUUUUUGGGGCUUUUUUUUGGGGUCAAAUCCUCGGAAUUUAGGGGUGAAAAAAGUGCAUUUUGGGGCCAAAUCCUCAGAAUUUGGGGGUGAAAAAAGUGAAUUUUGGGGCCAAAUCCUGAGAAUUUAGGGGUGAAAAAAGUGCAUUUUUGGGGCUGGUUUUUUGGGGUCAAAUCCUCGGAAUUUGGGGGUGAAAAAAGUGCAUUUUGGGGCUGCUUUUUUGGGGCCAAAUCCUCUGAAAUUAGGGGUGAAAAAAGUGCAUUUUUAGGGGUUGUUUUUGGGGCCUAAUCCUGGGAAUUUGGGGGUGAAAAAAGUGCAUUUUGGGGCCAAAACCUUGGAAUUUAGAGUUGAAAUAAGUGUAUUUUUAGAGGUUGUUUUUGGGGCCAAAUCCUCAAAAAUUGGUGGUUAAAAAUGUGCAUUUUGGGGCCAAAUCCUGAGAAUUUAGGGGUGAAAAAAGUGCAUUUUGGGGCUGCUUUUUUGGGGUCAAAUCCUCGGAAUUUGGGGGUUAAAAAUGUGCAUUUUGGGGGCCAAAAUCUCAGAAUUUGGGGGUGAAAAAGGUGUGGUUUUUGGGGUGAAAAAAGUGCAUUUGGGGGUCAGAUCUUCAGAAUUCAGGGGUGAAAAAAGUGUAUUUUUGGGACUACUUUUUUGGGGGCAAAUCCUCAGAAUUUGGGAGUUAAGUACAUUUUUGGGGCCAAAUCUUUAGAAUUUAGGGGUGAAAAAAAAGUGCAGUUUUGGGGCCAAAUCUUCAGAAUUUGGGGCUGAAAAAAGUGCAUUUUGGGGGGUUCUUUUUUGGGGCCAAAACCUCAGAAUUUGGGAGUUAAAAAAGUACAUUUUGGGGGCCAAAUCUUUAGAAUUUAGGGGUGAAAAAGAUGCAUUUUGGGGCCGAAUCCUGAGAAUUUAGGGGUGAAAAAAGUGCAUUUUUGGGGCCAAAUCCUCAGAAUUUGGGAGUUAAAAAAGUACAUUUUUGGGGCCAAAUCUUGAGAAUUUGGGGCUGAAAAAAAAGUGCAGUUUUGGGGCCAAAUCUUUAGAUUUUGGGGGUGAAAAAAGUGCAUUUUGGGGCUGCUUUUUUGGGGCCAAAACCUCUGAAAUUAGGGGUGAAAAAAGUGCAUUUUUAGGGGUUGUUUUUUUGGCCAAAUCCUCAAAAUUUGGGGGUUAAAAAAGUGCAUUUUGGGGCCAAAUCCUCAAAAAUUGGUGGUUAAAAAUGUGCAUUUUGGGGGCCAAAUCUUGAGAAUUUAGGGGUGAAAAAAGUGCAUUUUGGGGCUGCUUUUUUGGGGUCAAAUCCUCUGAAAUUAGAGGUGAAAAAAGUGCAUUUUUAGGGGUUGUUUUUGGGGCCAAAUCUUCAGAAUUUGGGGGUGAAAAAAGUGCAUUUUGGGGGCCAAAAUCUCAGAAUUUGGGGGUGAAAAAGGUGUGAUUUUUGGGGUGAAAAAAGUGCAUUUUGGGGUCAGAUCUUCAGAAUUCAGGGGUGAAAAAAGUGUAUUUCCGGGAUUGCUUUUUUGGGGCCAAAACCUCAGAAUUUGGGAGUUUAAAAAGUACAUUUUUGGGGCCAAAUCCUCAGAAUUUAGGGGUGAAAAAAGUGCAUUUUAGGUGCUGCUUUUUUGGGGUCAAAUCCUCUGAAAUUAGGGGUGAAAAAAGGGCAUUUUUAGGGGUUGUUUUUGAGCCAAAUCCUCAGAAUUUGGGGGUUAGAAAUGUGCAUUUUUGGGGGUGAAAAAGUGCGUUUUUGGGGCUAAAACCUUAGAAUUCAGAGUUGAAAUAAGUGCAUUUUUAGAGGUUGUUUUUGGGGCCAAAAUCUCAGAAUUUGGGGGUGAAAAAAGUGCAAUUUGGGGUAAAAUCCUGAGAAUUCAGGGGGUAAAAAAAGUACAUUUCUAUGGGUUAUUUUGGGGCCAAAACCUCAGAAUUUGGGGGUGAAAGAAGUGUGUUUUUGAGGUGAAAAAAGUGCAUUUUCAGGCCAAAUCAGAAUUUGGAGGUUAAAAAAGAGCAUUUUGGGUUCAGAAAAGCCAGAAUUGGGCACUUUGUGAUGGAUUUUGGGCUCAAAAAAGCCAGAAUUGGGCACUUUGUGAUGGAUUUGGGGCUCAGAAAAGCCAGAAUUGGGUCUUUGUAAUGGAUUUUGGGUUCAGAAAAGCCAGAAUUGGGUCUUUGUAAUGGAUUUUGGGCUCAGAAUAACCAGUAUUGGGCACUUUGUGAUGGAUUUUGGGUUCAGAAUAGUCCAAAUUGGGUCUUUGCGAUGGGAUUUUGGGCUCAGAAAAGCCAGAAUUGGGUCUUUGUGAUGGAUUUUGGGCUCAAAAAAGCCAGAAUUGGGGCCUUCUUCAUUGUUUUGGGCUCAGAUAAGUCCAGAAUUGGGGUCUUUGUGAUGGAUUUUGGGUUCGGAAUAGUCCAAAUUGGGUCUUUGUGAUGCAUUUUGGGCUCCAGAAAGCCAGAAUUGGGCACUUUGUGAUGGAGUUUGGGCUCAGAAUAGUCCAAAUUGGGUCUUUGUGAUGGGAUUUUGGGUUCAGAAAAGCCCGAAUUGGGUCUUCAUGAUGGAGUUGGUCUCAAAAAAGCCAAAAUUGGGUCUUUGGGAUGGAUUUUGGGCUCAGAAUAACCAGUAUUGGGCACUUUGUGAUGGAUUUUGACCUCAGAAUAACCAGAAUUGGGUCUUUGUGAUGGGAUUUUGGGCUCAGAAUAAUCAGAAUUGGGCCCUUUGUGAUGGAUUUUGACCUCAGAAAAGCCAGAAUUGGGGUCUUUGUGAUGGGAUUCUGGGUUCAGAAAAGUCCAAUUGGAUUUUUGCAAUGGAUUUUGGGUUCAGAAUAGUCCAGAUUGGGACUUUGUGUUGGAUUUUAGGCUCAAAAAAGCCAGAAUUUAACACUCUGUGAUGGAUUUUGGGCUCAGAAUAGUCCAAAUUGGGUCUUUGCGAUGGGAUUUUGGGCUCCAGAAAGCCAGAAUCAGGCAUUUGGGGAUGGAUUUUGGCCUCAGAAUAGACCAAAUUGGGUCUUUGUGAUGGAUUUUGGGUUCAGAAAAUUCCAUAUUGUGUCUUUGCGAUGGGAUUUUGGGCUCAGAGAAGCCAGAAUUGGGUCACUGUGAUGGAUUUUGGGUUCAGAAAAGCCAGAAUUGGGGCCUUCUUCAUUGUUUUGGGCUCA